Molecule: ribosomal RNA, 17 nt
Filed under: Gomphus ludovicianus
Lineage: Eukaryota; Fungi; Basidiomycota; Agaricomycetes; Gomphales; Gomphaceae
Description: partial large subunit ribosomal RNA
Source: RNAcentral
UUAGGCCUCAAAUCAGG